This 36-nucleotide ribosomal RNA is filed under the name Hydnellum peckii (bleeding tooth fungus). RNAcentral's name for it is "partial 28S ribosomal RNA". The record is from RNAcentral. Lineage: Eukaryota; Fungi; Basidiomycota; Agaricomycetes; Thelephorales; Thelephoraceae.
UUGACCAAUUCGACCUCAAAUCAGGCAGGACUACCC